RNAcentral lists this non-coding RNA (89 nucleotides) under uncultured Aquabacterium sp. Its description in RNAcentral is "Cyclic di-GMP-I riboswitch". It matches the Rfam family "c-di-GMP-I riboswitch aptamer", at positions 12 to 83 of the family's 87-position model. Rfam says of the family: GEMM was predicted in a large-scale screen for bacterial structured RNA regulatory elements. Genes associated with GEMM are involved in a diverse array of functions, including chemotaxis regulation, signal transduction, secretion and chitin. The record is from RNAcentral. Lineage: Bacteria; Pseudomonadati; Pseudomonadota; Betaproteobacteria; Burkholderiales; Sphaerotilaceae.
GGCAAACCCGGUGAAAGCCGGGGACGCAAAGCUUCCGGGCUGCCGGGCUUGAUCGUUCAUGGAUCAAGCCCAUGCCAGCGGGGCUGCAG